This 450-nucleotide ribosomal RNA is filed under the name uncultured bacterium. RNAcentral's name for it is "partial 16S ribosomal RNA". It matches the Rfam family "Bacterial small subunit ribosomal RNA", at positions 330 to 795 of the family's 1533-position model. The record is from RNAcentral.
UCCAGACUCCUACGGGAGGCAGCAGUGGGGGAUAUUGCACAAUGGGGGGAACCCUGAUGCAGCGACGCCGCGUGGGCGAGGAAGUAUUUCGGUAUGUAAAGCCCUAUCGGCAGGGAAGAAGAAAUGACGGUACCUGAAUAAGAAGCACCGGCUAAAUACGUGCCAGCAGCCGCGGUAAUACGUAUGGUGCAAGCGUUAUCCGGAUUUACUGGGUGUAAAGGGCGUGUAGGCGGGAAAGCAAGUCAGAUGUGAAAACCAUGGGCUCAACCUGUGGCCUGCAUUUGAAACUGUUUUUCUUGAGUACUGGAGAGGCAGACGGAAUUCCUAGUGUAGCGGUGAAAUGCGUAGAUAUUAGGAGGAACACCAGUGGCGAAGGCGGUCUGCUGGACAGCAACUGACGCUGAGGCGCGAAAGCGUGGGGAGCAAACAGGAUUAGAUACCCCCGUAAAC